AUGGGUCUUGCGGGCUGGGGAGUAUAUUGGGUUCCAGUGCAGUUGAGCAUGAUUUAUUGGCAGUAUACUACAAAAAUACAUUAUUUUUGGGUCAAGCAUAACAUUUUGGGCAUAAUUUUACGUGCAAUGCAAGUUGGCAAAACAGAUGAGAUUUUUUUCUUACUUCAGAACUACUUAAAUUUUUCUCUACUGUUUUCCCCUUUUGAUCUUUGUAAGAGAUAUUGGCACAUCAAUUUGAUAUUUUUAGCAUUACUGUUUAUAUUUAAUUUUGCAAGAAAUACUCAAAGUAUUGGGAUAUGA
This 300-nucleotide ribosomal RNA is filed under the name Triticum aestivum (bread wheat). RNAcentral describes it as "partial small subunit ribosomal RNA". The record is from RNAcentral. Lineage: Eukaryota; Viridiplantae; Streptophyta; Magnoliopsida; Poales; Poaceae.